Molecule: ribosomal RNA, 253 nt
Filed under: uncultured bacterium
Lineage: Bacteria
Description: partial 16S ribosomal RNA
Rfam family: Bacterial small subunit ribosomal RNA
Source: RNAcentral
UACGAAGGGUGCAAACGUUGCUCGGAAUUAUUGGGCGUAAAGCGCGCGUAGGCGGCUUGGCAAGUCGGAUGUGAAAUCCCUCGGCUCAACCAAGGAAGUGCAUCCGAAACUGCCGAGCUUGAGUACUUAAGAGGAUCGCGGAAUUCCCGGUGUAGAGGUGAAAUUCGUAGAUAUCGGAAGGAACACCAGUGGCGAAGGCGGCGAUCUGGGAAGAUACUGACGCUGAGGUGCGAAAGCGUGGGGAGCAAACAGG